Pelobates cultripes (western spadefoot toad) is the source of this 209-nucleotide non-coding RNA. The record is from the annotation of a GenBank genome assembly. Lineage: Eukaryota; Metazoa; Chordata; Amphibia; Anura; Pelobatidae.
GUUCAGUAAUCAUAUCACAGGCAGAGGGGAGGAUUUUGUGUGGGAGUGUCUAUGUGUAUUGUACGGAUUGAUUGGUUGUAUUUCAAAACCCUAUGGGCAGUACUAUGUUUGUGGAUUGUGAAUAAAAGAGGCUGUAUGUGCCAGUACAGUGAGUUCUGCUUGACCUCAAAACGAAGUGUCGUCUCGUUAUUGGGGGAAUUGGAUUGUAU